UGGCCAGUUGCUUUCAACACAAAAAGAGGCA
Molecule: non-coding RNA, 31 nt
Filed under: Mus musculus (house mouse)
Lineage: Eukaryota; Metazoa; Chordata; Mammalia; Rodentia; Muridae
Source: RNAcentral